GACGAACGCUGGCGGCGUGCCUAACACAUGCAAGUCGAACGGAAAGACCCUGCUAUCGUGGGCUGCUCGAGUGGCGAACGGGUGAGUAACACGAGAGUAACCUGCUCUACAUUUUCGGAUAAGUUCACGAAACUGGGGCUAAUAUCGGAUCGGAGCCCCCGCUGCAUGGUGGGGGUGGGAAAGUUUGGGCGGUUGGGGAUGGACUCGCGGCUUAUUAGCUUGCUGGUGGGGUAGUGGCUUACCAAGGCUUGGACGGGUAGCCGGCCUGAGAGGGUGACCGGCCACAUUGGGACUGAGAUACGGCCCAGACUCCUACGGGAGGCAGCAGUGGGGAGUAUUACACAGUGGGCGGGAGCCUGAUGCAGCGACGCCGCGGGCGGGAUGACGGCCUUCGGGUUGUGAAAAGCUUUCGCCUGUGACGAAGCGUGAGUGACGGUAAUGGAUGAAGAAGCACCGGCUAACUACGUG
Molecule: ribosomal RNA, 468 nt
Filed under: uncultured bacterium
Lineage: Bacteria
Description: partial 16S ribosomal RNA
Rfam family: Bacterial small subunit ribosomal RNA
Source: RNAcentral